AACCACUCCACUAGAAGUGAAGGCGAAAGGCAAUGGCAGCUCCGGAAUUCUAUUCAGGCAGCGCUGCGGACGCAUAAAAUGACGCAAUCCCCGCGCUAGACUGGGCGGGGCGUGCGAGGACCCUAUCCCCAAGAGGUUCCCCGGAGGAGCGGAAGCCGUCAACAGAGAAGCGGCGGUCGGCGGCGCAGUAGCUUCCGGUGUGUAUUUCUGCCUGGUUCUCCACGACGGUACCUUAGCAACGGCGGAGCGGGGGACGGGGACCAGGGAGCAGAGUGGUUAUAGCCGAGACGGAGGGGCGAGGAGGGGACCAGGUGUGACUGCAGAGACCGGAGACAGUUCCUCUUAACACCUGCCAGAAGCCGCCCUGCAGUGCAGGACCACAGCGUGUGGUGGAUGACAGUUAACAGUAACAAACAGCAGGGUAGCAGCU
Long non-coding RNA from Ochotona princeps (American pika), 430 nucleotides. RefSeq lists it as uncharacterized. The transcript has 3 exons. The record is from RefSeq and is a predicted model, not a curated record. Lineage: Eukaryota; Metazoa; Chordata; Mammalia; Lagomorpha; Ochotonidae.